This 254-nucleotide ribosomal RNA is filed under the name uncultured bacterium. RNAcentral describes it as "partial 16S ribosomal RNA". It matches the Rfam family "Bacterial small subunit ribosomal RNA", at positions 524 to 776 of the family's 1533-position model. The record is from RNAcentral.
UACAGAGACUGCAAGCGUUAUUCGGAUUCACUGGGCGUAAAGGGUGCGCAGGCGGCCGAGUGUGUGAGGCGUGAAAGCCCGAUGCUUAACAUCGGAAUUGCACCUCAAACUACACGGCUAGAGCAUUGGAGAGGGUAGCAGAAUUCAUGGUGUAGCGGUGAAAUGCGUAGAGAUCAGGAAGAACACCGGUGGCGAAAGCGCUCUGCUGGAGCCUUAACUGACACUGAGGGACGAAAGCUAGGGGAGCGAAUGGG